Molecule: unclassified non-coding RNA, 351 nt
Filed under: soil metagenome
Description: partial contains 5.8S ribosomal RNA, internal transcribed spacer 2, and large subunit ribosomal RNA
Rfam family: 5.8S ribosomal RNA (bases 4-119)
Source: RNAcentral
GAUAAGAACGCAGCGAAAUGCGAUAAGUAAUGUGAAUUGCAGAAUUCAGUGAAUCAUCGAAUCUUUGAACGCACAUUGCGCCCGCCAGUAUUCUGGCGGGCAUGCCUGUUCGAGCGUCAUUACAACCCUCAGGCCCCCGGGCCUGGCGUUGGGGAUCGGCGGAGCCCCCCGUGGGCACACGCCGUCCCCCAAAUGUAGUGGCGGUCCCGCCGCAGCUUCCAUCGCGUAGUAGCUAACACCUCGCGACUGGAGAGCGGCGCGGCCACGCCGUAAAACACCCAACUCUUCUGAAGUUGACCUCGAAUCAGGUAGGAAUACCCGCUGAACUUAAGCAUAUCAAUAAGCGGAGGA